AGAUAAGAUAUUAGUAGAAAGGAUAUUCAAAUUCCAAAUAUUAAGAUAUUUAUGAUAUUCUAAAUAUAUUAUUAGAAAUAUAAUCUAAUUUUCACUUUAUUUUUUUUUUAUUAAAAAAUUUAUUAAUUGUAUUUACAUUUCAUUUUCAUAUUGAUAUAUAUUUCUAGAAAUAUUAUCUACUUUCUUUAAUAUAUUUAUAUAUAUUUAGUAUUUUAUAUAUAUAUUCUACCUACUAACACCUAAUAAAUGAAAAAAAUGAUGGAUUUAUCUAGCUUUGGUUUCAAAAUUUAAACUAUAAAAAUAUUUCUAUACUUAAUUACUUUAAAUAUUGGUAGGUUUGGUUUCAAAAGUAAGUAAUGCAAAUUAGGUGGAAAAGGAAUUUCAAAUAUUUGGGUUAAAAAGAAAAAUGCGUGGACGAAUUUUUAAUGCAAGUGAACAUAUAAACCAAAAUUCAUUGCAAAAUGAUCAUAACAAUCCUAAUAAUUUUGGUUGAAUUAGAACAAAAAUAAAGGCUUGAUUCGUUAAGUUUUUUAAAAAUUAAAUCACAAUAAUCAUAAGAAACUCGAAAUCCAACCACUUACCUCCAACCAUACCUUGCUCGAACAUCCCAAAUGCAGUGGGUGAUAGUAUCCAUAGGAAAAAAAUUACCUAAUCGGCAAGUGGGAGUCCAAGCGGCAAGGUCUUUUGGAAGGGGAAAACCGAGUAGGAUUGCAUGUUCACCAAUAACAGUGGUGAACAUGCAAGCGCAAAGGUUUCAGAGGCAAAAUGUAAAACACAGCCGAUCAACGAAACCGACAGAAAACCCAUUUGUUUCGGAGGCAACACGGUGAGCGAAGCCUUCAACGAAAAUUGGGAGGACGAAGAGUGGGAGAGAAAGGAAUUUAGAGGAAGAUAGAUUUUUUACCGAGAAGAAAAUGACGACCAAACCUAAACAGGAAUACGUUGAAGGUGAGUUGACGAAAAAAGGGAAAAGUUUUUUCCAAAAUGAAAGAAAAAUCAAUGUCGUUACAAGGAUUGAAGAGAGGGGAUG
This 1030-nucleotide long non-coding RNA is filed under the name Cucumis sativus (cucumber). RNAcentral's name for it is "long non-coding RNA (CSAT_LNC001494)". Lineage: Eukaryota; Viridiplantae; Streptophyta; Magnoliopsida; Cucurbitales; Cucurbitaceae. The record is from RNAcentral.